GACGAACGCUGGCGGCAGGCUUAACACAUGCAAGUCGAACGCCCCGCAAGGGGAGUGGCAGACGGGUGAGUAACACGUGGGAACGUACCCUUUGGUUCGGAAUAACUUGGGGAAACUCAAGCUAAUACCGGAUAAGCCCUUAUGGGGAAAGGUUUACUGCCGAAGGAUCGGCCCGCGUCUGGUUAGCUGGUUGGUGAGGUAAUGGCUCACCAAGGCGACGAUCAGUAGCUGGGCUGAGAGGAUGAUCAGCCACACUGGGACUGAGACACGGCCCAGACUCCUACGGGAGGCAGCAGUGGGGAAGAUUGGACAAUGGGGGCAACCCUGAUCCAGCCAUGCCGUGUGAGUGAUGGAGGCCUUAGGGUUGUAAAGCUCUUUUACCCGGGACGAUAAUGACUGUACCGGGAGAAUAAGCCCCGGCUAACUUCGUGCCAGCCGCCGCAGUAA
Molecule: ribosomal RNA, 447 nt
Filed under: uncultured bacterium
Lineage: Bacteria
Description: partial 16S ribosomal RNA
Rfam family: Bacterial small subunit ribosomal RNA
Source: RNAcentral